Molecule: transfer RNA, 68 nt
Filed under: marine eukaryotic metagenome
Rfam family: tRNA
About the family: Transfer RNA (tRNA) molecules are approximately 80 nucleotides in length. Their secondary structure includes four short double-helical elements and three loops (D, anti-codon, and T loops).
Source: RNAcentral
GGUUGUAGCUCAACUGGUAGAGCACCGGUCUCCAAAACCGGGGGUUGGGGGUUCAAGUCCCUCCAGCC